This 418-nucleotide ribosomal RNA is filed under the name uncultured Aminicenantes bacterium. Its description in RNAcentral is "bacterial SSU rRNA". It matches the Rfam family "Bacterial small subunit ribosomal RNA", at positions 971 to 1382 of the family's 1533-position model. The record is from RNAcentral. Lineage: Bacteria; Candidatus Aminicenantota.
UUACCUGGGCUUGAACUGCUGGUGGUAGAAGCCCGAAGGGUAACGACCCGGAGCAAUCCGGGAGCCAGUAGAGGUGCUGCAUGGCUGUCGUCAGCUCGUGUCGUGAGAUGUUGGGUUAAGUCCCGCAACGAGCGCAACCCUUACCCUUAGUUGCCAGCGGGUAAUGCCGGGCACUCUAAGGGGACCGCCCCGGAUAACGGGGAGGAAGGCGGGGAUGACGUCAAGUCAGCAUGGCCUUUAUGUCCAGGGCUACACACGUGCUACAAUGGGCGAUACAGAGGGAAGCAAGGCCGCAAGGUAGAGCUAAUCCCUAAAGUCGUCCUCAGUUCGGAUUGCAGGCUGCAACUCGCCUGCAUGAAGUCGGAAUCGCUAGUAAUCGCGGAUCAGCUACGCCGCGGUGAAUACGUUCUCGGGCCUU